This 253-nucleotide ribosomal RNA is filed under the name uncultured bacterium. Its description in RNAcentral is "partial 16S ribosomal RNA". It matches the Rfam family "Bacterial small subunit ribosomal RNA", at positions 524 to 776 of the family's 1533-position model. The record is from RNAcentral.
UACGGAGGGUGCAAGCGUUGUCCGGAUUUAUUGGGCGUAAAGAGCUCGUAGGCGGUUUGUCGCGUCGGGAGUGAAAACUCAGGGCUUAACCCUGAGCCUGCUUCCGAUACGGGCAGACUAGAGGUAUGCAGGGGAGAACGGAAUUCCUGGUGUAGCGGUGAAAUGCGCAGAUAUCAGGAGGAACACCGGUGGCGAAGGCGGAUCUCUGGGCCUUACCUGACGCUGAGGAGCGAAAGCAUGGGGAGCAAACAGG